GACGAACGCUGGCGGCGUGCUUAACACAUGCAAGUCGAACGGAAAGGCCCUGCUUUUGUGGGGUGCUCGAGUGGCGAACGGGUGAGUAACACGUGAGUAACCUGCCCUUGACUUUGGGAUAACUUCAGGAAACUGGGGCUAAUACCGGAUAGGAGCUCCUGCUGCAUGGUGGGGGUUGGAAAGUUUCGGCGGUUGGGGAUGGACUCGCGGCUUAUCAGCUUGUUGGUGGGGUAGUGGCUUACCAAGGCUUUGACGGGUAGCCGGCCUGAGAGGGUGACCGGCCACAGUGGGGCGGAGGUCCGCCGCAGACCAGGGGGGGCGGCCGCGGGGGGGUCUGGCGAGCGAGGGGCGGGCGCCGGCUGCAGCAAGGCGGGGUGCGGGCUGACGGGCUUGGGGUGUGACGCCGCUGUCGCGUGGUGCGAGGGGUGGGUGGGGGGGGGGGAAAAAGAAGCACCGGAUAACAACGGGCCAGCAGCCGCAGUAAAAAUCGGAAGAGCCCCCGUCUAACC
Molecule: ribosomal RNA, 509 nt
Filed under: uncultured bacterium
Lineage: Bacteria
Description: partial 16S ribosomal RNA
Rfam family: Bacterial small subunit ribosomal RNA (bases 20-329)
Source: RNAcentral